Molecule: ribosomal RNA, 419 nt
Filed under: uncultured bacterium
Lineage: Bacteria
Description: bacterial SSU rRNA
Rfam family: Bacterial small subunit ribosomal RNA
Source: RNAcentral
GACGAACGCUGGCGGCGUGCCUAACACAUGCAAGUCGAGCGAGAAGCUUAUGAACGAGCCUUCGGGCAAGUGAUUAAGUGGAAAGCGGCGGACGGGUGAGUAACGCGUGAGUAAUCUGCCUUAAGGAGGGGGAUAACACAGAGAAAUCUGUGCUAAUACCGCAUAAUAUAUUUCUUUCGCAUGUUAGAGAUAUCAAAACUCCGGUGCCUUAAGAUGAGCUCGCGUCCGAUUAACUAGUUGGCGGGGUAAUGGCCCACCAAGGUUACGAUCGGUAGCCGGACUGAGAGGUUGAACGGCCACAUUGGGACUGAGACACGGCCCAGACUCCUACGGGAGGCAGCAGUAGGGAAUAUUGCACAAUGGAGGAAACUCUGAUGCAGCCAUGCCGCGUGUGUGAAGAAGGCCUCGGUUGUAAGACA